Molecule: ribosomal RNA, 497 nt
Filed under: uncultured bacterium
Lineage: Bacteria
Description: partial 16S ribosomal RNA
Rfam family: Bacterial small subunit ribosomal RNA
Source: RNAcentral
GAUGAACGCUGGUGGCGUGCCUAAUACAUGCAAGUCGAGCGAACAGACGAGGAGCUUGCUCCUCUGACGUUAGCGGCGGACGGGUGAGUAACACGUGGAUAACCUACCUAUAAGACUGGGAUAACUUCGGAAAACCGGAGCUAAUACCGGAUAAUAUAUUGAACCGCAUGGUUCAAUAGUGAAAGACGGUUUUGCUGUCACUUAUAGAUGGAUCCGCGCCGCAUUAGCUAGUUGGUAAGGUAACGGCUUACCAAGGCAACGAUGCGUAGCCGACCUGAGAGGGUGAUCGGCCACACUGGAACUGAGACACGGUCCAGACUCCUACGGGAGGCAGCAGUAGGGAAUCUUCCGCAAUGGGCGAAAGCUUGACGGAGCAACGCCGCGUGAGUGAUGAAGGUCUUCGGAUCGUAAAACUCCGUUAUUAGGGAAGAACAAAUGUGUAAGUAACUAUGCACGUCUUGACGGUACCUAAUCAGAAAGCCACGGCUAACUACGUG